UGAAAGCACCAUAAGUCCAGAGAAUGACAGACUUUGCUUACAAAGUUUGAUGACAAAAUUUGCAAACGUAGAACCGCCGCGCCAUCUUCCUGUUCAAGUGAGCACAGCACAACAAGGUCACUCCUCUUCUCCUCCAGAUUCCUCUUCUCCUCCUGAUGCAUCCUCUUCAGCUGCUCAAACCUCUCAUGGAGCUGGAUUGGAGGGGUUGGUAACAUGCUCUGCCUCGGUCUCCUUCACCUUGUUGACAAACAUCUGUCUCAUGUCGUCCUCGUUAUGCUGCAGAUCCCCCAGGAACUCUCUCCGCUUGGCCACAUACGUCUCCUGCAGACUGAUUGGUGAGGGAAGACGAGGUAG
Molecule: long non-coding RNA, 354 nt
Organism: Salvelinus namaycush (lake trout)
Lineage: Eukaryota; Metazoa; Chordata; Actinopteri; Salmoniformes; Salmonidae
Exons: 3
Source: RefSeq, a predicted model, not a curated record